Pieris rapae (cabbage white) is the source of this 1391-nucleotide long non-coding RNA. RefSeq lists it as uncharacterized. The transcript is spliced from 2 exons. NCBI's taxonomy places the organism in Eukaryota, Metazoa, Arthropoda, Insecta, Lepidoptera, Pieridae. The record is from RefSeq and is a predicted model, not a curated record.
UUAAAGUUUAAUGAGUUUCGGCGCUCUGUCUUUAAUAUUUUCUCUUGGAUGAAAACGUACUAACACCCCAAUUUAAGCUAUAUUCAUUGUUAAGGAAACGAAAGCAAGGGUAUGAAGAUCCAGUGAAGCAAUUUUGGGUGGCAAGAAUGCGAGUUUUUUAUAUUUUCACCAUAACGCUGCGGAAAGCAAUAAUUUUACAUUCCAAUGAUACUAGAAAUAGUUAUUUCUAAUGCACAUAUCUUACGAUUACAAUUUGGACCCACCCUAAGUUUAAGUAAGGUCAAAGGGACAAAUAACGAAUACCUGUAAUGGGGGUCAGUAAAACGCGCUAUUUACGGCUCGUAUGGCUUUGGGAUACAUAAAUGAGUAGUUUGCGGUAUCCUAAAUUGCUUGUAAAGGCUUCAUUUAACCGAUGGUAUUGUUUGAAUAAACACAAGAAACGUUGUUUUCAUAUAUUAUGUAGUCGAAAAGAAGAAUAUAGCUUCUAACAAUAACAUAUUGUUAAUUAAGUUCAAAAAAAUUCUAAUGUUUGACUAUCUAGAUAUGAAAACAUAUUUCAAGCUUACAUCAAAUAAACCAUAUAUUUAAAAAAACAGGACAAAAGUAGUGGUUUUAGUCGUGCACUUUUGCCUAGUUACUUGAUAUUUUAGACAAUUCACACAUAUUUAUAUUAAUUAUUGUAGCCUCAUCCAUCAUCAAAUCCAUUAAGUAGUUUUACGUGAAAGAGUAACAAACAUACUUAUAUACUAUAUACUAUACAACUAUACUUACAAACUUUCACGAUUCUAAUAUAAGUAGGAUUUGUUUGUUGGAAAUAUCAUAUACACAUAAAUCAAGAGAGUCGAAUAAAUUCACGGAGACUUCAUUUUCUAUUGGAAAUAUGCCUAUUCCCUAUGUUAGUAAAUAAGACACAACAUGGGUGUGAAUUUGAAGUGAAUUUCUGAAGUAAAUACAAUUAAUAGCAAACAGAGCUUUUCAGUACUCAGUGAAUUCUCUAUGGAAUCCGGUUUGAGCUAAGUGAGAAAGAUUGCUUUAUACUCAAGAGAUGUUCCGUUUACAUUGAGCUAGUCAUUGUGCAUAGUUAAAAAAAAAUAUUUCACCGUAUGCAGGUUUAAAAUCGAACGCAUUCAUCUUACUACUUGAGACCUUCCGUCUCAAUUAGAUUCCAUAGUAUUUCUAUGUACAAGAGCGGAGAUGUUGCGAUAUAAUUAUUAAUAAUACAUAGAUAAGGUUAAUUUAGUUGUUAUAACUUUACAAUGGAAUAGAUGCAAUUUAUUAGGAAGGGCUUUAGGAGCUUCAACUAACACCAAUAUUGUUACAAAAUUGUAUUCAUAUCUAUUUUAUUUAAUGAAUGUAAAUAGGAUAUGGAAGAAUAAAGGUUUAUUAUUAUC